GUUACCAUGGGACUUUGCUUUUUCUUCUGUAGUGCUUUUGAACCCAUGGUAAAUGUCUUUGACAGGUUUAAUUCUUUGUUUUUCAAAGAAAAAUAGCCACUUUGAGUAUCAUCUGAGGUUUCAGAUGUCAUAUGGUAUUAAAACUGAUGACUGUGGUAUGCCAUCAAUAGAGACCACAAAAGGUCUACUGCUACUUUUCUUACUCUUCUGAUUCAAAAUCCCUCUCAUGAGACUUGGUGUUUGCCUGGGAAUUUGGGUAGCUGUUCUUUUGCUGUACCCUUGUUAACUCUUAUAUAUAUAUAUAUA
Molecule: long non-coding RNA, 306 nt
Filed under: Nicotiana benthamiana
Lineage: Eukaryota; Viridiplantae; Streptophyta; Magnoliopsida; Solanales; Solanaceae
Description: long non-coding RNA (NBEN_LNC001839)
Source: RNAcentral